UUGCACGAAACUCAGAGCAUGGAGGA
RNAcentral lists this non-coding RNA (26 nucleotides) under Homo sapiens (human). The record is from RNAcentral. Lineage: Eukaryota; Metazoa; Chordata; Mammalia; Primates; Hominidae.